UCUGUGUGUGUGUGUGUGUGUGUGUGUGUGUGUGUGUGUGUGUGUGUGUGUGUGUGUGUGUGUGUGUGUGUGUGUGUGUGUGUGUGUGUGUGUGUGUGUGUGUGUGUGUGUGUGUGUGUGUGCAGCUCCAUCAUGGGCUUCAUCAGUAAGGAGAGGGAGAAGGCUCUGCUCAGUGAUAAGUGUCCCGGGACCUUCCUGCUCAGGUUCAGUGAGAGCAGCAGAGAGGGAGCCUUCACCUUUACCUGGAUGGAAUACGACCUCUGCAGUGAGUGAAGGACUGAUGCUGUUCAUGUCUUAUGUAAAGGAAGAAUGUGAGACUCUUUGAUCCAGUAGAUAUCUCCCUUUAGCACCAGCAUUAAACCAGAAACAUACAAUAUGCCCAGAUAGGUCGUGCUGUGCUACCCCCAAAACUUUCCGCUCAGUAUCUGACAUUUUCUGAUAUUUAAAUUGAAGAACAGUUUCCUACUCCCUCUCUCUCUCUUUCACUCUGUGGAGCCGUACACGAAGAAGGAGCUGUCGGCCGUCUCUCUGCUCGACAUCAUCCGUACCUACAAAGUGAUGGCUGCCGAGAACAUCCCCGAGAACCCGCUCCGCUUCCUCUACCCCAACAUCCCAAAAGACAAGGCCUUCGGGAAAUACUACCCCAAACCCACAGAGACUCAGGAGCCCAUGGAUGUGGAGAACAAUCCAGAGAGGAGCAGCUACAUGAAGACAGAGCUCAUUUCUGUCUCUGAAGUGUGAGCAGAGAAUGUCACCUUUUAAACACAAAAUAACAAAAUAUUUUAUUGGUAAUGCAUUGAGCAGAUUUAAUGUGGAUUUGCUUUCUGUUCAGAGAUCCGUCCAGACUGCAGGACAACAUGUUGCCCAUGUCUCCUGAUGACUACAGGGCUUUGUCACAGUUAGUCGGCCCCAGAGACAUUGAUGCUGUGACCAACAAUCUGCUUGGAUUUGAAGAGCUUGAUGUUCAGGUAGAGGCAGCCUCAGUUUGUUGCUCUACACUGAAUAGUGCAUCAGCUUAAGUGUCAUUUUCUUUAUGUGUUGUU
Labrus mixtus (cuckoo wrasse) is the source of this 1043-nucleotide long non-coding RNA. RefSeq lists it as uncharacterized. The record is from RefSeq and is a predicted model, not a curated record. The transcript is spliced from 3 exons. Lineage: Eukaryota; Metazoa; Chordata; Actinopteri; Labriformes; Labridae.